Long non-coding RNA from Tachysurus fulvidraco (yellow catfish), 3156 nucleotides. RefSeq lists it as uncharacterized. The transcript is spliced from 3 exons. NCBI's taxonomy places the organism in Eukaryota, Metazoa, Chordata, Actinopteri, Siluriformes, Bagridae. The record is from RefSeq and is a predicted model, not a curated record.
AGAGUCGGUCCAGGCCACUGUCAGUGCACAGCUUGUCCAUCCAGACGCCUUCCUUUCCUGCGCACUCUUCUCCACUUUCCCUAACUUCCACAACAAUUUGGCGUUGUCGAGCAGGAUUUCCGCGCUCGAGAGUCGACUUCGGGGAUUCCCGGGGAGGCUUGCAGCGCUCGAGCCUUGAAGGCUGUUAAGAGGACGUGGGAGCUCACCGUGAGCCGCCUCAACACCGGAAUCAAAAGUAAUCGGACACGUGGAAGGUGAGAGGAUUUAGUUUAUUUUAUUUGUAAGGUUGUAAGGGUUUUUUUUCCCCCCAGAGAACCUUAGUUAAAUUUAUUAGUGUUGAGUAGUAAAAUUAUAUUGUUGGUUGUAAAGACAGGAUUUAGACCUGGAUCUGUCGACAGGUCAGGGACCUGGAUAGGCAUCUAGUGUAAGGCCUAGAAAUAAAAAGUAAAGCACGGCACUUAUCUGGGAUUAGGUGCUAAAGGUGUCUUGUUUGCGAGGUUUUCAGAAAACCCGCCGCUAAGAGCUGACGAGCUCGGCGUAGUCUCUCCGGAGAGCAAAGCAUGUUAGGGGAAAAGAGAAAAGGCCAAAACAAAAGAUAAAGCACACACACACAUAGCAAAGAGAACAGGCUUUCUGACAAAGAGACUGUUAACAAUAAACUAAGAUAGUCAUGGGCAAACUCAGUACAAACACAGUGUGUAUCACUGGACCUAAUGUGAAUUUUAUGAAAAAUAAUCAUGGUCCUGAUUCUGUGUCACAACUAAUGUGGUGUGUGACGGAGUGUAGCUUCCCAGACGGUGGCAGUUUUAUCCUGAAACAGUUAGACUUGCUGAGACUUAACCUGAUCCAAAUUGAAAGAGAUAAUGCCGGAAAGAAGAAGAGAAAGAGGGUAGAAGUAAAAUGGACAGCUUUUCAGAUGUGGAGAUCAGAGGCAGAGAAAAGGUUGAGAAAAUCACAAUCUGCCCCAAGCAGAUUAUCUACACAGUAUUUACACAAUACACAAAGUACAUUAAGGAGCUCACAGAGUCUCCAGUGUCUUAAGUCUUUUUCAGACUAUCCUGACCUGGAUGGACCGCCUCCUCGACCACGUCUGGCAGCGGCUGUGUCAACACAGGUGUUCACGGAUUCAGAAACACACCCCAUCCGGAGAAGUGUCCACUCCCUCCACCCUCCCCGCAGAUCGCACACGUCAGAGGGAGAAGCAGAAGGAGAAUGCUGAUCCUGGACCAGUUGAAGAAAAGUCUUCGACUUCAGAGGUCAAAGAGCAACUUCAGAGAGUGAUUACAAUUCCCAUGGUGGAAGUAACUGGACCGGAUGGAGACCCCAUGCUAGUACGUCGUCCCUGGACACUAAAGGACAUUGAACAUGCUCAUGAGCACCUCCCUGACCAGAGAGAAGUCGGGGGGAAAAAGUUCGGUGUGGAGUUGGAACGUUUUUGCAAGGAAUUUCGUCCCACCUUACUUGAACUGAUGUGCCAGCUGACAUACUGUAACGCAAAUCAAGUAUUUAUGGCCGAAUGAGAAUCUGUGCAUGAGGCAUCCAGAUCAUGCAAACUCGAGGAAUGCGACGUACUCUAAUUUCAUAAUGGAAUUACAUGAAACAUGUAGUGAUUCUUUCCCAGUGAAGAUGGAUAUGACAAAGAUUGAUUGCACUUUGCAAACAGGAGGACAGCGAAAACAUCUCCAUCGCCUCACUGACAUACACAACGCGCACAGCGGCCUCGCUCCCCUACCUGAGGGGGCAGUGACAGCAUACUGUACGAGGCGCACUUGAGAAACAGUUUCAUGAAUGGACUGAUUCCAGAAAUAUCUGACAAGGUGAAAAACCUAAUGCAUCACAUGGGACACUGGAAGACUGAGCCUCAUCGAACGACAUGCCCUGCAUGCGGAGAAAGUGCUCGCACGACACAAGCAGGAGCAGGAGAAGAAGAAAGAAGCGCAAACACACAGAGUCCAGCUGACAAUGAUGCAAGCUGUGGCGGGGUCUCGAACACAUCGAGGAAGAGGGAGAUAUCGAGGAAGAGGUAGAGGCAGAGGCCCGAAGUUAGAGAACAGGAGACAGUGGAUGUUUUAUUUGUGGAGGACAAGAUCACUGGGCAUGGGAAUGUCCUAAGAAACGCGACGAAGAAACUGCAUGACGAUCAGCGUCUCAGCUUGGAGAGUCGAGGAGGUCCUGAAGGGAUGAAAGCAGAUGGAGAACCACACAAUUGUGUUGACAUUUGCAGUCCUAGGUCUGAUUUGCAGGAGACGCCGCUUUUUGUGGAUGGAUCAGCCUUCAGAGAUCAGAAAACAGGCCGCAACUGCACGGGGUAUGCAGUAGUAACACAACACUAAACACUUAUACCCCUUUGACUAAAGUGUAGUCAAAUUUUAUUCGUCACAUACUGUACAAAGCUGUAGUAUGUUGCCCCUGGAGCAGGUGAGGUCAAGGGCCUUGCUCAAGAACACAAUGUUGAUGUCUCAGCAGCUUGUGGGCUUAAACCCCGACCUUCUGAUCAGUAACCCGAAGCCUUAACCACUGAACCAUGACGUCCUGUCGUAAUAUUCCCUCUAGAACAAGGCAUACAGCAUUACAGCCAGAUAUAACGUCCUUGAGUCAUGAUCAUAUAACUAUAUUACUUUUUGAAAAAUAGUCAAAACCUCAUUUACAUGCAAUGCAUACGGUACUCACUUAAUAGUAUAAUUAUUAUUUAUAAUUUUCAUAAUAAACCAGUUACGAAGGAUUCUUCUAAAAUCAGCCGGUGGAGAACAUGGAAAGUGUGUAGGAGAAUGAACAGGGUGGCAUUUUUAUUUAAAGUAAAAGGUGAGACUCACAUCCAUGUCCGGAGGUUUAUAAGUGAAGGCACAUUGACAUUGGUCCAAAACACAAAUCCAAAGCCAACAUCCUUAAAAAAAAAACACCUCUUAGUGAAAUCACAAAGACUGAAAGUUGAUCCAACGGCAAAGGUAUAUAAGGUGCUGGGGGCAGUGGUGGCUAAACUGGUUAAGGCUCUGGGUUGUUGAUCAGAGUCAUUGGGGUUCAAAGCCCAGCACAGCCACAGCUGCCACUGUUGGGCCCUUGAGCAAGGCCCUCAACCCUCCCUGCUCCAGGGCGCUGUAUCAUAACUGCCCCUGCACUCUGACCCCAACCUCUUCAGUUGGGGUAUGUGAAGAAAAG